This 526-nucleotide ribosomal RNA is filed under the name uncultured bacterium. RNAcentral describes it as "bacterial SSU rRNA". It matches the Rfam family "Bacterial small subunit ribosomal RNA", at positions 21 to 518 of the family's 1533-position model. The record is from RNAcentral.
GGCUUAGGACGAACGCUGGCGGCGUGCCUAAUACAUGCAAGUCGAACGGUCGUUUCUAUGGAAGCUUGCUUCCGCUGAGAAGAUAGUGGCGAACGGGUGAGUAACACGUGGGUAACCUGCCCAUAAGAGGGGGGAUAACAUCCGGAAACGGGUGCUAAUACCGCAUAGUUUUCUUGAUCGCAUGAUCGGGAAAGAAAAGACGGCCUUUGUGCUGUCGCUUAUGGAUGGACCCGCGGCGUAUUAGUUAGUUGGUGAGGUAACGGCUCACCAAGACGAUGAUACGUAGCCGACCUGAGAGGGUGAUCGGCCACAUUGGGACUGAGACACGGCCCAAACUCCUACGGGAGGCAGCAGUAGGGAAUCUUCCGCAAUGGACGAAAGUCUGACGGAGCAACGCCGCGUGAGUGAAGAAAGGUUUUCGGAUCGUAAAACUCUGUUGUCAGAGAAGAACAAGUUGGAGAGUAACUGCUCCAGCCUUGACGGUAUCUGACCAGAAAGCCACGGCUAACUACGUGCCAGCCGCCGC